This 1312-nucleotide long non-coding RNA is filed under the name Nicotiana benthamiana. RNAcentral describes it as "long non-coding RNA (NBEN_LNC034177)". Lineage: Eukaryota; Viridiplantae; Streptophyta; Magnoliopsida; Solanales; Solanaceae. The record is from RNAcentral.
AUGUCGUUUCCUGGUUCAUUACGUGGAAAGUCGUUUCCAGCGUGACCCCUCCUGGUAGAAUGGGCAGCAAUAUUUCCCCGGAGGUUCAUUCCACUGCAUUAUUGAAACCAUUUAUUGUUAUGCAACGCGGUAUUAUCUUAUCCUCGAGUCCAAUUAGUACGAGGACCCUCGGAUGGAUAAUACAGGAACCGCUACCGUCGUCAACCAUAAUUCUUUUAACAUCCGUAUCUACGAUAUGCAAAGUAAUAACUAAUGAAUCAUAAUGAGGGAAAGACAAACCUUUGGCAUCAUACAUACCGAAGGUGAUACUAUCUUUGAAGUCAUCAUACCAUUUGUGGGCGAUGGUUCGCUUCAGUUUGUGUGUAGUGGUGAAUUUGACGUGAUUGAUCGCCGAGUCAUCACCGUCUCCAGUGAUCAUGUUGACUGUUCGUGUUGGUGGGGGUGGCUUUAGUGGCUCGUGGGGUUGUUCCCGUCCACGUGCAAAGUUAAUUUUUCCUUUGUCACUAAGUAGUUCCCUCAGGAAUCCUUAGUCAGCAUCCUGACCACCUCUUGACAUAGGCCUAUGUAGUCUUCGAUUUUGUGCCCUCGUUCCCGAUGAAACUCGCACUGGGCAUUUGAUUUUCUGGUGGCGGGAUCUGAUUUCAUCUUUGUGGGCCACUAUUCUUUGGUCCCCAACUUCUCCAGUGCGCAAACUAUCUCUGUAGGGGACACACAGAAGUUAUGUGCAGAUAAUAAAAGAGGUAUACCUCUGUCAUUUUGUAGUGGGGAGACAUGUCGUUGUAGUGCAUCCACAUGCCUUGGUGGCAUUGGUGAGAAGAUUUUACAUAGGGUUGGUUCCUCUCCCUAUUGGGACGUGGGAUUUGUUCCCGCCAUCCUUUGCUGCGUCGGUCCCUCCUGAUUUUUGGGUGUAUUGUUGUUAAAAGUUGGGCCAACCCAUUGAGGUCAUCCUUUUCUGCACGUACCUCGGCAUAGUAGGCAUUGUGGAUCUCUUCCCAGGUGGUGGGAGGUCACUUCAUGAGACGACUUAGCAGUUUUUUGGUUGCCCUUGAUCCAUCCCUGUUUAACCCGUUCUGAUAAGCGACGACUGCCAUGCCUUCCAACACGUUUGGUAGGCUCAUCCUUACUCUGUUAAAUCUGUCUAGGAAGUCCUUGAGUCCUUCUCCUGUGGUUUGUCGAACAACGAAGAUGUCGUUGACUCUUGCUUCCGCUUUCUUUGCUCAUGCAUGGGCGGUGACAAGCUUGUCCGCCAUUUCCUCGAACGUAGAAAUGAUCUUGGCCGGUAGCUGGGGGUACCAGGUUAGUGCUCCUCCUG